This 460-nucleotide ribosomal RNA is filed under the name uncultured bacterium. RNAcentral describes it as "bacterial SSU rRNA". It matches the Rfam family "Bacterial small subunit ribosomal RNA", at positions 338 to 795 of the family's 1533-position model. The record is from RNAcentral.
CCUACGGGGGGCAGCAGUAAGGAAUAUUGGUCAAUGGAGGCAACUCUGAACCAGCCAUGCCGCGUGCAGGAUGAAGGCCCUAUGGGUCGUAAACUGCUUUUAUACCAGAGAAAACCACCGUACGUGUACGGUGUUGAUAGUAUGGUAAGAAUAAGCAUCGGCUAACUUCGUGCCAGCAGCCGCGGUAAGACGAAGGAUGCAAGCGUUAUCCGGAUUCAUUGGGUUUAAAGGGUGCGUAGGCGGACCUGUAAGUCAGUGGUGAAAUCUCUUUGCUUAACAAAGAAACUGCCAUUGAUACUGCAAGUCUAGAGUAUAGAUGACGUUGGCGGAAUAUGACAUGUAGUGGUGAAAUACUUAGAUAUGUCAUAGAACACCGAUUGCGAAGGCAGCUAACGAAACUAUAACUGACGCUGAGGCACGAAAGUGCGGGGAUCAAACAGGAUUAGAUACCCCAGUAGUC